AUGGACAUGAGGGCCCCUGCUCAGCUCCUUGGGCUCCUGCUGCUCUGGUUACCAGGUUCCAGAUGUGACAUCCAGAUGACCCAGGCUCCAUCCUCCCUGUCUGCAUCUCUGGGAGACAGAGUCACCAUCACUUGCCAGGCCAGUCAGGGUAUAGGCUUUGCUUUAAACUGGUACCAACAAAAAACAGGGAAAGCUCCAAAGCUUCUGAUUUAUGGUGCAGAUAGGUUGGCAGAUGAAGUCCCAUCGAGGUUCAGUGGCAGUGGGUAUGGAACAGAUUUUUCUCUCACCAUCAGCAGCCUAGAGCCUGAAGAUAUUGCAACUUAUUACUGUCUGCAAAUUAAUAAUACCCCUCCCACAGUGAUACAUGUUAUAACAUAA
Molecule: non-coding RNA, 378 nt
Organism: Peromyscus maniculatus bairdii (prairie deer mouse)
Lineage: Eukaryota; Metazoa; Chordata; Mammalia; Rodentia; Cricetidae
Source: the annotation of a RefSeq genome assembly